This 70-nucleotide transfer RNA is filed under the name Bagarius yarrelli (goonch). RNAcentral describes it as "tRNA-His". It matches the Rfam family "tRNA". Rfam says of the family: Transfer RNA (tRNA) molecules are approximately 80 nucleotides in length. Their secondary structure includes four short double-helical elements and three loops (D, anti-codon, and T loops). Lineage: Eukaryota; Metazoa; Chordata; Actinopteri; Siluriformes; Sisoridae. The record is from RNAcentral.
GUAGAUAUAGUUUAACAUAAAACAUUAGAUUGUGGUUCUAAAGAUGGGGGUUAAACUCCCCUUAUCCACC